UGAAAACGCUCACAUUUUGCUCUCUUUAGGAAAAGACAACAUUGAUUUUAGAGGUUUUUGUUAUGGAGGCCAGGGGGAUUUUUCCAGUGCAGCACAGAGAAAUCUGGGUUUGGAUUGGGAAGCCAGACAUUUCUUGGCUUACAUUUCCUACUUGAAUGGGAUUCGUUUGCCCCCUCCUCACCUCUCCCCAACCCCCAGGCAGCUAGAAGCCCCACCUCCUUGCUUGGACCAUAUGGGGAAGCUGGCUCGGUGGCUGUUAUUCUACUGACUCCAAGUUCACGCAGCUGUUCAUCCCCUGCUUAAUGUACUGGCCUGCCCUGUGGCUGCCCAUUGACCAAUCAGCAUGCACUUCUCCAUUCAGAGCAGACGAAAAGCCCAGACUCAAUCAGUCUCACACACUCAUCAGGACUACUUGGCUAUGGAAAGGAGAUAGCCACUAUGGGUCUCCUCUCCAUUAAGAGUUGGACACUUGUCCAGAUGACCUGCCUACAGAAAGAAGCUACCCACUAUGGGUCUCCUCUCCUCUGAAAGCUGGACACUCAUUGGAACAACCUGCCUGCAGAAAGAAGCUGCCCACUUCAGGGCUCCUGAGAGCUGUUCUGUCGCUCAAUAAAUCUCCUCUCCACCUUGUUCACCCUCCAGUUGUCUGCAUACGUCAUUCUUCCUGGAAAUGGGACAAGAACUUAGGACACACCAAAUGGCAAGACUGAAAGAGCUGUAACACAAACAGGGCUGAAACAUGCUCCUUCACUCACUAAGUGGUGGGCAAUAAGUAGGAGAGAAGAGCUGUGUCACUUUGGGGAGCCCAAAGUUAAGGGCUCCCCAAGCCAGGGCUGUGCCACCCUCUUUUGGGGUCUAUGGUUUCCAGUGUCUCUAAGCUUCUGGGCACCACUGUAUUCCCUAGUGCCUGAAGCAGUACAGCUUGUGGUACACCUGGUCUAGCCACAGCCUCACGUGGAACCACUGCCUGUGCUGGAACCUGGAGAUGACUGCCCUAUUGCAGCCAGCAUGCUGGGCUGUGCACAGUUGCUGUACCCUGUGCUCACUUGCUCACACACCCCUCACCACUCUGCUCCUGGCUUAUCCUUGGCAGGUAUGGGAUCCAGGCCAGUAGUAUGAGCCAGUUGCAGCCUGCUGGCUCAAAUGGGUGGAAUGAGCCCAGCAGGCGCAAGCAAAACACAAGCAGAGUUGCCGCCAGCCACAGAGGUUUCUGACUGGCAAAGUGACACCCCAAGGAACCCAUGACAGUUAAGCAAUAAAACUAAAAAUAUAUCACUUUUUUGCAAUACCUGAGGAUAGAAGAAUGUAUACUGUAAAUUCUUAUUUUGUGUAUGUAUAAGCUGCAUGCUUCAUAUACUAUCUUUUAGGAGAUAUAUUAGAAUAUCUUACAUUAAGUAUAAAUUAUUAUUAAUGUAGUUUUAGAAUGGCAUAUUUGUGAUUAAAUCAUAAGAUUUUAUGCAUCAGGUUUGAAUAUUUCUUAACUGACUUUUGUGUUUCAUUAUAGAUGUGUUAAGUUAUUGCUGAGAAUUUCCCUUUUGAAUGCUAUGCUGAUAGGAUGUUUCAGUGUUGUGAAUUCUGUAUUCUAGUGCUGAUGCCUCCAUCCCCAAAACCUGCCAUUUCACUUUAAAUACUGUAAAACAGGUUACCUACUCUCGUACGUAACUCAGAAGCACCUAAUAGUAUGGCUGAUAUUCUGUUGAAAUAAACAACAUAACAACUUGUAUCGUUUGGAAAUUCAGAUACUGAUAUUCUUUGCCCUUUAGCACUUCUGUCUCAUCCACUCAAUUUCUCUUCAACAUUCUCCCUCAACUUUUCAAAUUAUAAAUCACAACAAAUCAAUGAAAACAGCAUUGCUUAUAUAGCAGCAGUCCUUUAGGCAUAAUCAGCAUUCAGUUACCAAUUCAUAUAAAAUGACAGGCCCAGGGAGGAACUGAGACCUACCACAACACCAUGAUAAAGGCAGAAGCCAUCUGAGAGAUAUGAAAACGGCCAGAGGGUGUGAAAUUAAUGGAGAGGAAACAAAACACAUAUUGAAAUCAGAUAAGGGCUUGUUUGAAAUACUAUUUUGUAAACCAUGUUCUAACAGCCACCAUGGGGUCCUUUGUAACUCUUCACACUUAACUCCAACUGCCACUGCUCUCUGUUGACUAAACUCCCAUCCACACUGACUGCUUUCAGUUUCUCAAAAGAGGCAAGCUCUUCCUGCCCUGGGACCUUCACUUAAACUGUUCUUCAUACGUGUGAUUCUCUCCUUAACAUCUUUACAUGAUGUCUUUUU
RNAcentral lists this long non-coding RNA (2278 nucleotides) under Homo sapiens (human). RNAcentral's name for it is "HSALNT0048092". Lineage: Eukaryota; Metazoa; Chordata; Mammalia; Primates; Hominidae. The record is from RNAcentral.